AUGACCAACGAUCAAUGGAUUGCGAACAUUGACAGCUCCAAUGGCCUCUCCCUUGAACACAUACAACAAUUUGCUAACCUUUGGGACAAACUAGCAACAGUGGCCCUCGAUGACGACGUUGAAGACUCAAUUAUAUGGAAGUUCACCAAAGAUGGGAUAUAUUCUGCAUCCUCGGCUUACAAGGCUCAAUUUGAAGGCCUCACCACCUCGGACCUUGUCCAUUCAGUGUGGACGAAGUGGGCGCCCCCUCGGUGCAAGUUUUUUGCUUGGCUCGUUCUUCAAGAUAGGAUUUGGACUUCGGACCGCUUGAGCCGCCAGGGUUGGCCUAAUUGCGGUCUAUGCCCUCUUUGCAAGCAAACCCAAGAAACCGCGCCUCAUCUGCUCUUCCAGUGCCGCUACACCAUGCGCAUUUGGAAUGACCUCUUCAUAUGGCUCGGCAUGCAUCACAUCACCACGUCUACUUGGGUGACAAGGGCUUUGGUCAGAGAAUGGUGGAAUGCUAACCUGAAGAUCCGUCUCGGCUCGCCCAAGGCGCUCGCCUCCCUCAUGAUGCUCAUCUCUUGGGAGGUUUGGUCGGAGCACAAUGCUAGAGUCUUUCGUAAGUCAGCGGCCCCUUCCAUGACCAUCAUCGACAAAAUCAAGCAGGAGGUAUCGCUUUGGGCUAUGGCUGGAGCGAAACAUUUGGGUGUUGUAAUGCCGCGAGAGUAG
RNAcentral lists this ribosomal RNA (708 nucleotides) under Triticum aestivum (bread wheat). RNAcentral's name for it is "partial small subunit ribosomal RNA". The record is from RNAcentral. Lineage: Eukaryota; Viridiplantae; Streptophyta; Magnoliopsida; Poales; Poaceae.